This 76-nucleotide transfer RNA is filed under the name Bipes canaliculatus. RNAcentral describes it as "tRNA-Asn". The record is from RNAcentral. Lineage: Eukaryota; Metazoa; Chordata; Lepidosauria; Squamata; Bipedidae.
CGGACUGAAGCCUGAGUUGAGUUUUGGCGCUUAGCUGUUAAUUAAGUGUUUGUAGGAGCGAGGCCUACCGGUCCAG